GACGAACGCUGGCGGCGUGCUUAACACAUGCAAGUCGAACGGAAAGGCCCUGCUUUUGUGGGGUGCUCGAGUGGCGAACGGGUGAGUAACACGUGAGUAACCUGCCCUUGACUUUGGGAUAACUUCAGGAAACUGGGGCUAAUACCGGAUAGGAGCUCCUGCUGCAUGGUGGGGGUUGGAAAGUUUCGGCGGUUGGGGAUGGACUCGCGGCUUAUCAGCUUGUUGGUGGGGUAGUGGCUUACCAAGGCUUUGACGGGUAGCCGGCCUGAGAGGGUGACCGGCCACAUUGGGACUGAGAUACGGCCCAGACUCCUACGGGAGGCAGCAGUGGGGAAUAUUGCACAAUGGGCGGAAGCCUGAUGCAGCAACGCCGCGUGCGGGAUGACGGCCUUCGGAUUGUAAACCGCUUUCGCCUGUGACGAAGCGUGAGUGACGGUAAUGGGUAAAGAAGCACCGGCUAACUACGU
RNAcentral lists this ribosomal RNA (467 nucleotides) under uncultured bacterium. RNAcentral's name for it is "partial 16S ribosomal RNA". It matches the Rfam family "Bacterial small subunit ribosomal RNA", at positions 28 to 506 of the family's 1533-position model. The record is from RNAcentral.